GUAAACAAGACUCAAUGCAGGCUAUCUCAUUUGAACUCAGAAGCUAAGCAGUCCUGGACUUGGCAAAUGCUUGGUGCGAAGACCUCUGAGAACCCAGGGUGCC
RNAcentral lists this ribosomal RNA (103 nucleotides) under Crocodylus porosus (Australian saltwater crocodile). Lineage: Eukaryota; Metazoa; Chordata; Crocodylia; Crocodylidae. The record is from RNAcentral.